AUUGAACGCUGGCGGCAUGCCUUACACAUGCAAGUCGAACGGCCGCACGGGUGCUUGCACCUGGUGGCGAGUGGCGAACGGGUGAGUAAUACAUCGGAACAUGUCCUGUAGUGGGGGAUAGCCCGGCGAAAGCCGGAUUAAUACCGCAUACGAUCUACGGAUGAAAGCGGGGUACCUUCGGGCCUCGCGCUAUAGGGUUGGCCGAUGGCUGAUUAGCUAGUUGGUGGGGUAAAGGCCUACCAAGGCGACGAUCAGUAGAUGGUCUGAGAGGACGACCAGCCACACUGGGACUGAGACACGGCCCAGACUCCUACGGGAGGCAGCAGUGGGGAAUUUUGGACAAUGGGCGAAAGCCUGAUCCAGCAAUGCCGCGUGUGUGAAGAAGGCCUUCGGGUUGUAAAGCACUUUUGUCCGGAAAGAAAACCUUGGCUCUAAUACAGGCGGGGGAUGACGGUACCGGAAGAAUAAGCACCGGCUAACUACGUG
This 486-nucleotide ribosomal RNA is filed under the name uncultured bacterium. Its description in RNAcentral is "partial 16S ribosomal RNA". It matches the Rfam family "Bacterial small subunit ribosomal RNA", at positions 30 to 507 of the family's 1533-position model. The record is from RNAcentral.